UAAUUAUGCAAUAGAUGCGGGCUUUGUUUUGUGUUGGGCCUUACCUUUUUUUCUGAAAGAACCAGCCCAAACGUGAUAUUAGGAUUCUUCCAAAUUUUUUUUCCUCCGCCGUUCCAGAGCGUAUGUUGAUUGAAGAAUCUCAACGUAGGGAUUUGAACGUGUCGUUUCAUCUUCUUUUCACAAUCCGAAACGCUCAGUCACUGAUUCGUCACCUUAAUCCACUUCUUAACUCUAUCAACCACGAUCUAGCCUCAAUGCGAGUUUCUCUUAUGCAAGGCAGUCUAUCUGCGACUAUAAAAAGAGAAAUCUAAAGACUCUCAUCUAUCGAUUUGACUGAAUCGUGCAUCUCCACCGUCAAAGUGCGUCUCAUCAGAUUCUGGGAGGCUCUCCCUCUCUCUUUGAUCAUCUCCCUGCCAGAUUAAAUGAUGUGGAGAGAUGGCACGAAAGAUAUGUUUCUUCAAAGACCAAAUAUCAAAGGUGGAGUUUCUCCCAAAGAGUUUAUAGACAAAUAUGUGCUUGGAUGAUGUUGAGGUCAAGCUUGGAGAGCUAGAAGCUGAACUUUCGGUAAUCAAGGUCAUAGUCAAAACGCUGUAGUGGCUAUCGACAGUAGCAUCCUUAGUGUCUUACAUAUGGCAACUCUUCCAAAGUUCUAUUUUUAGAAUUAUGUUACGGCUGGAGAGCAAAGACUUUGAUCUAUUGUUAUUGUCUCAAACAUCGUUAGAUAUAUAUGAAAGAUUCUGUAACUAAGGAUGUUAUGAAAGAUAUACUGGAGAGCUUUACAAGAGUAUUUCAAGGUUUAGCUUUUAAGAGCAUCAUUAUCCCAACAAUUCAUAAUAGGUUGCUUAGUUAUAUAAUAAUAAUAUUUAAGGAGUUUUUUUGGGUAAACAACUUAUCU
This is a long non-coding RNA of Raphanus sativus (radish), 895 nucleotides long. RefSeq lists it as uncharacterized. The transcript has 5 exons. NCBI's taxonomy places the organism in Eukaryota, Viridiplantae, Streptophyta, Magnoliopsida, Brassicales, Brassicaceae. The record is from RefSeq and is a predicted model, not a curated record.